This 497-nucleotide ribosomal RNA is filed under the name uncultured bacterium. RNAcentral describes it as "partial 16S ribosomal RNA". It matches the Rfam family "Bacterial small subunit ribosomal RNA", at positions 28 to 507 of the family's 1533-position model. The record is from RNAcentral.
GAUGAACGCUGGCGGCGUGCCUAAUACAUGCAAGUCGAGCGAACGGACGAGAAGCUUGCUUCUCUGAUGUUAGCGGCGGACGGGUGAGUAACACGUGGAUAACCUACCUAUAAGACUGGGAUAACUUCGGGAAACCGGAGCUAAUACCGGAUAAUAUUUUGAACCGCAUGGUUCAAAAGUGAAAGACGGUCUUGCUGUCACUUAUAGAUGGAUCCGCGCUGCAUUAGCUAGUUGGUAAGGUAACGGCUUACCAAGGCAACGAUGCAUAGCCUACCUGAGAGGUUGAUCGGCCACACUGGAACUGAGACACGGUCCAGACUCCUACGGGAGGCAGCAGUAGGGAAUCUUCCGCAAUGGGCGAAAGCCUGACGGAGCAACGCCGCGUGAGUGAUGAAGGUCUUCGGAUCGUAAAACUCUGUUAUUAGGGAAGAACAUAUGUGUAAGUAACUGUGCACAUCUUGACGGUACCUAAUCAGAAAGCCACGGCUAACUACGUG